This 75-nucleotide transfer RNA is filed under the name Ovis aries (sheep). Lineage: Eukaryota; Metazoa; Chordata; Mammalia; Artiodactyla; Bovidae. The record is from Rfam by way of RNAcentral.
UCUGAUAGCUCUCUGAUAGUUGGUAAAGAAUCUGCCUGCAAUGCAGGAGAUCCUGGUUCAAUUCCUGGGUCAGAA